UGAUGAACAAAGAGGCAUGUUCAAGGCUUAGUUCUUCAUUUCAAUUUUAGGAUUACAGGUACCUGAUAGCAUUAAUUCCCAUGGGGAGGAGAUCAGCAAGAAUCUACAGAUUUGAGUGUCUGGGGCAGAGAGGCUUUAUCAGAAUUCAGAUUAACAACUGCUCUGUUAAGUUUUUCAGAAAUGUGUGGGAAUGAUUUCAAAGACACCAUCAGCACAUCACGUCACUGCCUCCAUGGUAUGUAUCAUCACAAAUGAACAUAUAUCUGGGCUAUGGGAUGUGUCUUCCCCUCCCUCGUGUGAAAACCCACUCACAUUAUGAAGCUUCUCAUGAAUUUCACAUAAAGAAGAGGCCAGACAGCUGAGGAGGGGAAUCUGGACAAGAAGAUGGAUGUCAAGCCUGCAGAAAGCAUACGGAAAAACACAUAUUGCCUUGCGAAGACACCACUCUUGAACACAGCUAACACACCCUCCUGAAAAGUGCUGGCUAAUUGCAGGUCUCACAGUCAGAGGGAGAUGAGUAAGCCCCUCUCCAGUGAACCUGAAGACAAAGAUAUCAGAAGACAAGUAAGCCUCCAGUGCUGGAAGUAUGACUCACUUAUAGACACAUAGAAUGGUUUGGGUAAGGAGGGACCUUAAAGGUCUUCUGGUUCCAACCCCCUGCCAUGGCCAGAGACAUCUUCCAGUAGACCAGGUUGCUCAAAACCUCAUCCAGCCUGGCCUUGAAGCGACAUCCACACCAUCCUUUGGAGUCUUUGGGAUUCUUAGGACAGGGCUUCAUAGCAGGUAAGAGCAGACACAAACUUGUUUCAUUCAUACUGUGUCAUAAAGGUGCAAGGCAUGUCCAGCCAAGAAGCAGUGUGACUCUACAGCACUGUGCCUUAACCAGCAUGUCCUGUCCAGCUUGUGAUAUAAACCUGCUAUUUGACUCAGUACCCAUCUGACAGUGGACACAAGCAAGCUGUGAGUCCUGUACAAAACCUGUAUCUUGACCUCCUUUAUCAGUUCUCUGUACUUGGUGCGAUUGGGCCCUCACUGAACCAGAGACCUUGUGAUUUGCCAGGACCAAAUCUGUGUGUGUGUUUGUGGAGGAGAGGGGAAAUGCUGUCUUUUUUGGUUGAAAGCCCAGUUCAUCUGGGCAUCUUCUUAGUCAUUUCAGGAUUGAGUGGUUUGUGAGGGUCAUCAGUCAUUAGAGCAGUGUCCUGCUAUUAAGACUCUUGCAGGCUGCCUCCACACUUAGAGUUGCACAGACUCACAGUCUCUUCUGCCUUGGCUAAGCCUGCCUGAACUGGAGGACUUUAGCAUGCCUCUGAAAGAAGGAGCUUUAUUCUUUCCCAUGACCUGCUUCAAGCAAAGCUACAGCAACCAAAUAGACCGUGCUGUGUGAAACACAAGGUCACACCAGCUUGAGUAAAACAUCCCCCUCUGGUGCUGGAGAGCUCAGCUAAAGAGCAAACCAAAGGCAAAUACAGCAGCAGCUGAAAAUGGAUGUUUUUUUGCUUUGUUUUUUCAUGGCAAAAGCCCAGCAGACUCUGACUGAGAUCAAAAAGUAGCAUAUCACCUGGAGGUCCGUGAAUAAGCAAAGAGAUGUUUAAACCUUCCACCACUUCCAUCAUCAAAGACUUCAGUGGGUUUCUUUCCAUGUGUUUUUUCAUAGCUGGCCUCAGUGAGAGCAACUGUUCAAAAGGGACAUUAGGUGCACCUUCUGUUGGCUGAACCAAUUAAAAUUACCCUUCAAUGUCACCAGGAGCACACACAAAAACCCCAGGAAAAUUCAAGGAGGAAAAGAGAAACAAACACUAGAGUCCCACCUAGGGAACAAGCUAGUUUACAGAGACUGGUAAUGGGACUAUACUGCUGUGCUUCAAGGUCAUAAGUUUGGCUUUUUCAGAUAAGGUUAACAACAGCUAAAAAUCUUAAUUGGUGGCUGUUCAGUGGCCUAUGUGAAGUUAAUGGUAGUCUCUUGUAGCCAUUUAAUUUAAUUAGGUAGCUGCUGUAUGCUUAGCAGAAUGUGUCCCCCAAACUAUUAAGCUUGUUGAUGAGCUGGUGUGUGUGGAAAUGAACGACAAAGUUCACUCAAGUCUUUGGUACUAAUUUAUUAAAUUAUGAUGUAUUCAGACCUCUUCACUCUUGAAUUUAUGUCCUGUGUUGUUGGAGUUGGAUCUCGGAGCUUUAAGGCAGAGAUGUUGGCAGAGGCUUUAUACUUUUGCCACAUAUCAAAAGGUUUAUUUUUUCCAAUAGGAUAUGACUACCAUUAUGUGUGACUCUAGCUUUGAAUGUGCCACAGGAUAGCAGCAGUAUCCAAAUGCUGGCCUUCUUCCAUACUAUAAUUUGCUGAGAACACUUUGUCUGGAAAGAUAUGACAGCUUUAUGUUCUGCAACUUUAGGUGGGGAGAAGCCAGAGCCCCUGCUGCAGGACUCUGUCAGAACUCAGAUGAGUCCUCUGUUGCUGAGCUCUGGUUUUGCUGAGUUCACCAUAUGAAAGGUGAAAGUGUCGGUAGCAUUCAGUUUGGUCUUUCACCAAUAGUUUUAUUCAUUUUAAAAUACUUCCCAAACUUCCACACUGCCACAAACCUUUAUUUUGUGUGGUUUUAGCUGGCUUUGCAUAACAGAAGUUACACAACAUUAACACCAGCAACAAUGCAAAGACAGACCAAAACCAGACCUAUCAUAUGUUCUAUUUCUGUAAAGCAGAAUGAAAGAAUAGACUAAAACUAUUGUCCUUUGUUUUGUUUGUGAUCAUAAAUAUUCAUCAACUAGGUAAUUAAAAUCCAUUGCUAACUAAAGUGGUAAUAUCUGGGUACCAGUGAGAGGCUUGUAGAAUUUCUUUAGUAUUAUUAAAUCUCAGAUUAGUAUAACUGUUAUACAUCUGACAGAUGAACCCAGGACAGUAUCCACGCCUUAUUCCAUACCAUUUACAUCAUGCUCAGGUCCCACAUUUUUCAAUAUGCCAUUACUUUUUGUUUCUAGAUACAGAUAUACAUAUACACACAAGCAUCAUUAUGUUAUUCCUUAGUCCAUGGACCAUCCUUAUAAACCUCAUUGAGUUCAUUUGGUCCAUAACGUUGGGCAAUAUGUAUACACAGUUGAAAUCAGGACAAUAUGAAAGGGUGGUGUCUCCAGCAACACACAGAGAAGGGCUGGAGCACUAAUCACACUGAAACUGACGAAGGCACUUACUACUAUGAUGCCAAAGAAAGCAACUAAAAUAUAAAAGUCAGGGAACUCAGUCCAAUUAGAUUUUGACAUAGGGACAGAAUGGUGCCAAUCAGAAGCAAUUAUUUUAUUUUUUUAUUAGUGCUUCUAAUUUUUCUUCCUGCUUUUUGCAUUUUUUUGAUUGGAAACAUAAGCUGGUUUGAAAGUCAAAGCUCUAGGAGACAGAACUGGUAGUAAAAUCUCAAAUAAUUGAGAUACUCUUGAUGCUAAGAACUCUUGAUGUAAAAAAUCCCCAAAGUCACAGUUGAAUCAUCCACUAGAGAUCCAGUUUGUCCCCUGAUUUGUUUUUCGGGAUUCCUGUCUGGAUGUACUCCUAUUUGCAUAUUGGUUUAUGCAUCCAGAAGAGCUAACUUCCUCCCUUUUCUUCCUCCCCAGAUGAAUGCUAUGGUUUUAUGUGGGGAUGAGUAACACUUGUGACAGAUGAGCUGACAAAACAUGGCAAAACCAUGGGAGUCUGUAACACCAACAGUCACGCUGGUGUUUCCAUGUCCCUGCUGAGGGUGGGAGAUGUUUUGCCAUCACUCUUCCUACAUAUGCAGUCCUAAUGCACUCAGAAUGGGCAAACUUCUAGAGAUGCGAUUUUCAAGUGUUGUGUUGUCAUGACAGGGAGAAGUUGGACUCAGCUCUCAUACAUCAUAAUACAACAUAGAGCCUGUAGCAGAACUGCAGUAGUGGAGCAGGACCAUUUUCACAUGUUGCUACCUAGCUGGAGUGUUAUUUUUCCUAAAUGGCCUGCAAUUGCAAGGAAAAAAUCCUUUUUACUAUACUGUCAACAUAAAUUCCUACAAUCCAUACCAUAAUUUUCUCUGUGCUUACCUGCAAGCUAUACUGAAAGUGCUACACAAUCAUGCAUAAUUCAUUUCUCUUAAAUAAAAUGUAAAUUUAUCAUCAGCCUUUUUGGUUAAUUAACGCACCACUGUAGGAAUAAGGUUAAGUUCUGUAUCUGGGAUUCCUUUUGCUAAAAUAAACACAUGACGCUUUAUGCUGCUUAAAUUGGUGCAAUUGAUUGCUGAGUGGGACAGAACUGAAAUUCCAGGGGAGGUCAGCCAGUCAGUGUGUGUCUAAUAUUCAACAGAGUGUGAAUCCACUUGGUUAUAAAGUGAGCUGGAUUACUCUCCAUAGUAUUAGAUGCCUGCAUUUCAGACUUGGCAUAGACAGGAAGGGGUGUUUAUAGGUGUAUUUCCCAACCCCCAAAAGAAAUCUGGACUAUUUUAUUGGCCUUAAGCUGUUCUUCAGGAACCUUCAGAAUGACGUUUGAUGGAUUGCUAUGCUUACUGUAAACAUUUGACUUAACAAAGCGUCUUGCAGGUUAGGUUUCAUUCUUUAUAGACCUUGAAGCUUCACAUGCAGUUGGCUACCCAUUAAAUAAAGGAUUAAGUACUUGGAAAAAAAAAAAGCAUAUUCCUCAAGGAUGGGGUAAUGACACAGUGCUCAGCAGGGACUUAGCUGUAAUUGUUAGUGUUUCCUCUUCUUCCCUCCAAGCAAUAAAAUCCUUAAAUAAAAAGGAAUGUAGAGAAGGUGGGCUUUGGGCUGUGGACCUCUUCAUGAAAGAAUAUUGACAUAGGGUUACACAUGGUUAGAAAGAGAGAGAGAAAUUCUCAGGUCCACCAUACACAGAGCCAUGGGAUUUAGGAGUAUUUCUCCAGCACGGUUUCAAUUAUUUUUUCCCUGUAACAAAAAACCACGACCUCUCCUUUGCCUACGUCCUGCCUCUCUCCUGUGGCCAGGCAGACAGAAGGUCAUUUCAAGUUUGGGGGAGAAGUUGGUACUUGGGCAGAAGUCUCUGGACACAGAAGGAAACUGCUUUGCCAUUCCCUGAAGUCACAUUAUUCUUAUGUUCAUGCUACACAUAGCUCUCUUGGAAGGUCUGGGAUUCAUUACCUGCCUUCUGCUACAGCCUUCUGGCUUUGGAAAUGUGCAGAGAGUUUCAAGAUUAGCUCCCGCGGCCAAACUAUGACAUGAAAGUGCAGCUGGCUGAGAGGCAAACAGGUUGUGUGUAUGGCUCCCAGUGCCCUUUUCCUGCCCCUGCCAGGGUGAGGAGAACUGGGGCAGGAAUGGGCCACAGGUUGCCUUGCAUACCUUGCUGGUUUACAGCACAGGGGCACUUUCUGCAGCAGUGGAGGAGCCGGCUCACAGCCAUCCACAGACUGCAGUGGACUGGAGGAAGCAGAGUCUGACAUUUUCUGGGCUGUGUAUUGACAGUGUCUCUCUCAGGAGCCCUGUUUAAAUUAGGUUUUCUCUCAUUGUCCUGUGCAGUGCCUGCUCCAAGACAGAGGACCUACAAUAGGCCCUCUGCAGCAGGAGCCGUCCAGAGCUGCCUGGGAGCCACUCUCCCCCAGUCUCAGUCCCUCCUGGGUCUCAGGCUCUGGGCAGCCAAGAGAGGGUCCGAGCUGUGUUUUUAGCAUGCACACGUAACAGCGGUGUAAGGGGCAGGGGAAGGAUGGUGCAUCAUCAGCAGGGCCCUUGCUCAAUGUCAGAGGCUGGCUUGAAAGUCGGUCGCUGAAGCAGUCUGACGUCAGCUCUGUCGCUGUAGGAAGUAUCGAGUUAAACUGAUAAUUAUCUGCAGCACGUGUAUGAAUUACAAACCUUUUGAUGUUCAGGCUUAUAUGUUUCGAGUUAGCCAGCACAUCUUAAUCAGAUUUUCUUUCCUUUUUAAAUGAAAACUUGAAGCUCUCUUAUCUUCCAUUCCCUUUUCCUCCUUUGAACUUGUACUUCACUGAGAUUUUCACAGACACAGCCUUUCCUCAGCCAGGUCCCACCAGCUUCCAUCCACAAAGUCAACUCAGCAAGGUAAAAUGGCAGGUGCUGUUGGGUUUGCAGUAAUAGAGCUUGAAAACAAUGAGCUCUUUGUCUGUCACUGCUUUUCUUUGCAAUAUUAAAUAUAUUUUAUCAAUGGCAGUGGGCAGUGGAACACGGAGAAAGAAAGAGGAGAGAAAAAGACCCUUGAAAGAGACUCUGGUUAGUUCAAUAAAAGCCUGGCUGUUCUGCCUUCCUUGAGCAUGAGCAAACUGCUCACUGGUGCACGGAGUCUCCAGAAAGCAAACCCUAGAACUCAUCGGCUCUGCUUGCAAAAUUCAGUGUCUUUGUCCUAACCACAAACACUUCACCAGCACCCCACCCGCCACAAAGCACAAUAGCUCAUACCCUCGAUGUCUCUCCAAGUUUUUCACAGAUAUUAGUCAACGUUUUCAUAUUAUU
This is a long non-coding RNA of Melopsittacus undulatus (budgerigar), 6411 nucleotides long. RefSeq lists it as uncharacterized. The record is from RefSeq and is a predicted model, not a curated record. Lineage: Eukaryota; Metazoa; Chordata; Aves; Psittaciformes; Psittaculidae. The transcript is spliced from 5 exons.